GGAAGAAAUCCUUUUGAAAAAGGUGAUAGAAACAAUGAUGAAGUAGGCAGCUCCAGGGGGGUGGCAUGAAGACAAAUCAGACAGGCAUGGAGUGUUGGCCACGAGCUAGCUAUACUGGUUCUGCCCCUAGUAAAAUAUCAGUUACUAAAGGGCCAAAUCUAGGUGCUACACUGAAGAGUAAAAUACACUUUGAGGACCUUGCUGUAGUGGGCAAGUCUAGUGACAAACAUCCUAACGAGGAAAUCAUCCCGGCUGCAACAUAUGAAUCUGCACUUGACAUGGAUAAAGAGGACUCUGUGGAGUCUAGUGAUGACAGUGAUAACUUUGCCAACCAAGUAAAGGAGAUGCUGGGUGAUGAAAACAGCCCUCCCAAAGAUAACAACUCACAGCUGGUGGCCAGUUGCCUGCUGGAAUCUGAAGUGGAGGUGAUAAACCAAGCUUUGUUUCAAGAGGCUAGUGCCAAAUCCGUUGGCAAGAUCCCAGAAAUUCAAUAGAUUACUUCAGGGGACACUCAGGUAUUUGAUGUGACCAAUCUGCUCAAUCCAUAUGGCAUGAUGAGGGAGAUGAGGGAAGACCGAAGGGCCAGUGAACGUCUACAACAAGAUAUGAUCAUGAAGUCAACCGUGCAGCAUGACAAGGUGGACAAGGGGAAGCUGCCUAGAGGUAACCCCCUUGUAACCUCCAACUCCUUUUCCUCUCUCAAUGAUGAUGAUAUUAUUGCAAGAACUAUAUCUAUGGGUGUUAAUAUUGAUGUUUCAAAUUU
Panicum virgatum (switchgrass) is the source of this 763-nucleotide long non-coding RNA. RefSeq lists it as uncharacterized. The record is from RefSeq and is a predicted model, not a curated record. The transcript has 2 exons. NCBI's taxonomy places the organism in Eukaryota, Viridiplantae, Streptophyta, Magnoliopsida, Poales, Poaceae.